GCUCAUGUCAGCAGAACAUUCUCUAUAACUGGAAGAACAGAGAAGAUAAGCAAGGCCCCAGCACCAACAACACACUAAUCUGUGAAGCAUUCCCACUUUAC
RNAcentral lists this small nuclear RNA (101 nucleotides) under Microtus ochrogaster (prairie vole). Lineage: Eukaryota; Metazoa; Chordata; Mammalia; Rodentia; Cricetidae. The record is from RNAcentral.